UCGAAUCGGAUGAACGAGAAGAAAAGGGGGGGAAAAUCAGUGAUUAAUUUUUUUUAUUUUUCGUUGUUGAAAAAUCUCGGGUUCCGAAUGAAAAGUACUCUGGUUCGUCUUCGCCAUCAGAAACCCUAGACCGAAAUCUUCUCCUGAUUGCUAACUCAUGAUCGGAAUCCAUUUGUUUCUUGAGAAAUUUUUAGGGUUUUGGUUGGUUCUAUUAGAUGAGCAAAUGAAGUGAAAUGAUCUUAAAUUCUCCGAACGUGGAUGUGGUUGAUUUCCUUUCGACGGAUUCGAACACAGACGGACUGAUCAUCGGACUUGGUUAAGACAGGGUUGUUCGGUGAGGAAGAAACAUGGAAGUGACUGCUGCUACUGCUCUUGUGUUCUUGGUUCCUGUCGGAUGACAAACUUGAGGGUUUUAGGCCGCAGGAGCGUUAAAUGUAUCCGUAAAACGAUUGAGACUGGGGAGACAUGUUUUCACUUGGCGACCAUACUUUUGCAUAUAUUUUGUGAUUCUUUAAACUGGAGCCAUAGGUUUGUAUAUAUACGAGGGACAAAGAUGCAUGCUAGGCACCGGAAUAUAGGAAAUGGCUACAGAUCUGGCUCAGUCGGGAUGGGGUUGCCAUCUUCUAGAAUUCCACCAGAUGGUUCUAUGCGUGGUCAUGGGUUUCAUGGUUCAGCCCGUCAUGGCUCGAACCGUGGAUACGGACGUGGCCGUGUACACCCAAAGUCAUACCAAAACCAGCCACUUCCACCUACUCCACCACUCCAACGCAAAGGUGGUGGUGACAUUUUCAUGGAAGCUGGUCGUCUGGCAGCAGAGUACUUGGUUUCUCGGGGUGUCUUACCGCCAACCGUGCUGUCUGGUGAAUGGCAGAAUGUUAAUUUGAGGAAACAGGCAGGAGAGUUACAAGGUUUUAGGUCACAAGAAACACGGACGGGUGUUUCUGCUCCAGAUGCGGAUAAGGGAAGGUUUGUUGAUGAUUAUAGCUCCACGGGCUACAGGAGUUACGUGAAGGGAAGGAGGUCCAACCGAUAUGGCUCUGCUUUUGGGAGGAACGGAUCAUGGUCAGACAGAAGACAUAAGGCUACUGAUGUCGAAGCUGACACUGAUUCUGUGUCUGGCCAGACACUACCUGAAGACAUUACUAGCUCGGUUCAGAGGUCGAACUCGGGUUACUCUGCAAGAAAACGGGAAGGGGCAGGUGAUUCAGAGUCCGAGUUGGAUAAGUAUAAUCUUCAGGAUGAGGCACAAUCUAAGACAGGCUCUUCUAGUGUUGGGAAAGAUACAGCGAAUGAUGUGGCAAUCUCAAAAGUAUCUGAAGGUUCAUCUAGCUUGAGUGCUGGAUCUGGAGUGCUGAAGGGUGGAAAUUCCAAUGGCGGAGGGAAUGAGAACCAAGCUUGUGUGGAGGGCUCGUCUAUGAAGAAUGGUGUUGAUCUAUUAACGAUAUGUAAAUUCGCCAAGGUGCCUACCAGGACACGCUCUUCUCUAACAGCCAAAGUUCCAAAACUUGAUUCGAGUGAAAAUAUCGUGGGAAGCUCUCAUACUCCUGGAAUUGCAGACAAAACUCAAAUCCCAGGUCCAGUGCAUUCAUCUGGAAAAGCUGAUAAUCCUGAAUGUACUGGCAAUGAACAUAUUGACCCCUCUAACCCCAUUGGAGACUUAGGUCACGCUCUUAUGGUUGAGAAGAGUAAAUGUCAUAGGUCCAAUUCCUUCCCUGGCAGUAUCCUCAUGGACAAUGUUGCAAAGAAUCCAGGACUGGAGUUGGCUGAUCUGCAUAGGUCACAGUCGAUGGGGAAGGGAAGAGGGGAGAAACGAGCUGCAGAAGAUGGUGAUUUGGAUGGAGCAAAGAGACAGAGAGAGUGGCUGCCAUCUCUUGCUUCUGAAAUAGACAACAUUGCAGAUGAGGAAAAAACGCUCAUAUUCGAAGAGAAAGUGGUAGAGAGUAUGAUGAAGGGUAUUGUCCAUGAUGGGUUGGUGGAUAACUCAACGCAUGAUCUGGUACAAGUACAAGACGGAAAAUCAUGUGGUGGGUAUGCAGAAGAGCGGGAGCUGUUUCCUGGUUCAUUUAAGAUCUGUGACCUUAAUCUAGAGGGAGCAUCAGAUGCGAAUGAGAACAAUAUUGACGAUCCUAUGAUCAUUUUUCCUGCCGUUUCAGGACCCAAAGGGGAACUCGAUCGAGUUGAUUUUGAUCUCGCGAUAAGCAGUUCAAGCAAGCCUCUUGAGCACAAUACUCGGAUAAGCAAUGAUAAAGAGAUAGAAGUGAUUGACUUGGAGAACGAUUCCCCUGAAGUGGAAUAUGCCUGCAGUAAUUCUGAUAGAAAGCAAGAAGCUCCAUUUAUGGGAUUUUCUCAUCAGUCCGAGUCAGUAAACGAGAUCCACGAUGUCCGGGAUUACAAUGAAGGGCUCAUGAUGGUAGAGUUUAUCGAUUCUUUUGGAAACAUCCCUCCAAUGAACCUGGGAAUCAAUUCAGUGCCCGAGGGCAUUAAUCACAUGCCACAGGACGAGAUUGGCCUGCAAAAUCCAGAGGGAGCUACCACUCUUGGGAGUGAUCAGAUUCCUCACGCAGACGAUGAGUCCAUAUUCAUGUCCCUGGGAGAAAUACCGUUGAGUAAGCAAGCCACUUUCUUUCCUUCUUGCAAGCCUGGGACCAGCCACCGGCUCGGGGCUACCAUAAGCCUUUCUGAGCCAGUGACCGCACCUUAAGCAUCAAAUGAGUAGAUGCUUCUGCCGCUGGUUAUGCAUUCUGAUCACAGAAAUCGCAAGUUUGGCAUUGGAGAAGAAGGAGAAGCGAACCAGGCUUGGUUGGCGACUUGUGUAAUGUGACGGUUAAGCUCUGGGGAAAGGAGCGGACAAAGGAGAUUUUGAAUUUCGGGCAGCAUCAUGAAAAAGUUGACAGACCACACAACACAUCACACCACACAUGUCCUUAUUAUUGGACGCUUCUGCCUUUUUUUUUUUUUUUAAAACUAUCUGUUUAUUAUUGUACCAUCCAUUAGACGUAGACAGACCAUUUUUUUUUUCAACUCUUUCUUGACUUUCUUUUAAUAUAUUCUAAAUAUUUUUUAAAAAUGGUCUACAGGAUUCAAACCAUUGCAUUUUUAAUA
RNA transcript from Tarenaya hassleriana, 3102 nucleotides. RefSeq lists it as uncharacterized. The record is from RefSeq and is a predicted model, not a curated record. Lineage: Eukaryota; Viridiplantae; Streptophyta; Magnoliopsida; Brassicales; Cleomaceae. The transcript has 7 exons.